Molecule: transfer RNA, 71 nt
Filed under: Penaeus monodon (black tiger shrimp)
Lineage: Eukaryota; Metazoa; Arthropoda; Malacostraca; Decapoda; Penaeidae
Description: tRNA-Pro
Rfam family: tRNA
About the family: Transfer RNA (tRNA) molecules are approximately 80 nucleotides in length.
Source: RNAcentral
GGCCUGAUGGUCUAGGGUAUGAUUCUCGCUUUGGGUGCGAGAGGUCCCGGGUUCAAAUCCCGGUCAGGCAU